Molecule: ribosomal RNA, 377 nt
Filed under: uncultured bacterium
Lineage: Bacteria
Description: bacterial SSU rRNA
Rfam family: Bacterial small subunit ribosomal RNA
Source: RNAcentral
GUAGUCCACGCCGUAAACGGUGGGUGCUAGGUGUAGGGGGUAUUCCACGCCCUCUGUGCCGCAGCUAACGCAUUAAGCACCCCGCCUGGGGAGUACGGCCGCAAGGCUAAAACUCAAAGGAAUUGACGGGGGCCCGCACAAGCAGCGGAGCAUGUGGCUUAAUUCGACGCAACGCGAAGAACCUUACCAAGGCUUGACAUACACCGAAAACUCGUAGAGAUACGGGGUCCGCAAGGGCGGUGUACAGGUGGUGCAUGGUUGUCGUCAGCUCGUGUCGUGAGAUGUUGGGUUAAGUCCCGCAACGAGCGCAACCCUCGUUCUAUGUUGCCAGCGCGUUAUGGCGGGGACUCAUAGGAGACUGCCGGGGUCAACUCGGA